AGCUGAUCCGAGUGCUAUGCCAUUACGAUGAAUUGAUCACAAUCACUUGCAGACUUUUUACUUCUCCACUGCCAUUGCUUCAUUUUCCCAGCUUUAA
Molecule: small RNA, 97 nt
Filed under: Erinaceus europaeus (western European hedgehog)
Lineage: Eukaryota; Metazoa; Chordata; Mammalia; Eulipotyphla; Erinaceidae
Description: Y RNA (ENSEEUG00000021197.1)
Source: RNAcentral